CAAUAGCGUAUAUUUAAGUUGUUGCAGUUAAAAAGCUCGUAGUUGGAUUUCGGAUGGGAUUUGCCGGUCCGUCGUUACGAUGUGCACUGGCCAGUCCUAUCUUGUUGUCGGGGACUAGCUCCUUGGAUUCACUUCCUGGGACUAGGAGCUGACGAGGUUACUUUGAGUAAAUUAGAGUGUUCAAAGCAAGCCUACGCUCUGAAUACAUUAGCAUGGAUUAACACGAUAGGACUCUGGCUUAUCUUGUUGGUCUGUGAGACCAGAGUAAUGAUUAAGAGGGACAGUCGGGGACAUUCGUAUUUCAUUGUCAGAGGUGAAAUUCUUGGAUUUAUGAAAGACGAACUUCUGCGAAAGCAUUUGUCAAGGAUGUUUUCAUUAA
Molecule: ribosomal RNA, 379 nt
Filed under: uncultured eukaryote
Lineage: Eukaryota
Description: partial 18S ribosomal RNA
Rfam family: Eukaryotic small subunit ribosomal RNA
Source: RNAcentral